RNAcentral lists this ribosomal RNA (253 nucleotides) under uncultured bacterium. RNAcentral's name for it is "partial 16S ribosomal RNA". It matches the Rfam family "Bacterial small subunit ribosomal RNA", at positions 524 to 776 of the family's 1533-position model. The record is from RNAcentral.
UACGUAGGGGGCAAGCGUUAUCCGGAUUUACUGGGUGUAAAGGGAGCGUAGACGGCUUUGCAAGCCAGAUGCGAAAGCCCGGGGCUCAACCCCGGGACUGCAUUUGGAACUGUAUGGCUGGAGUGUCGGAGAGGCAGGCGGAAUUCCUAGUGUAGCGGUGAAAUGCGUAGAUAUUAGGAGGAACACCAGUGGCGAAGGCGGCCUGCUGGACGAUGACUGACGUUGAGGCUCGAAAGCGUGGGGAGCAAACAGG